GAAAUGCGAUAAGUAGUGUGAAUUGCAGAAUGCAGUGAAUCAUCGAAUCUUUGAACGCACAUUUCGCCCUUUGGUAUUCCAAAGGGCAUGCCUGUUCGAGCGUCAUUUGUACCCUCAAGCUUUGCUUGGUGUUGGGCGUCUUGUCUCUAGCUUUGCUGGAGACUCGCCUUAAAGUAAUUGGCAGCCGGCCUACUGGUUUCGGAGCGCAGCACAAGUCGCACUCUCUAUCAGCAAAGGUCUAGCAUCCAUUAAGCCUUUUUUUCAACUUUUGACCUCGGAUCAGGUAGGGAUACCCGCUGAACUUAAGC
RNAcentral lists this unclassified non-coding RNA (308 nucleotides) under plant metagenome. Its description in RNAcentral is "partial contains 5.8S ribosomal RNA, internal transcribed spacer 2, and large subunit ribosomal RNA". The stretch from base 1 to 105 matches the Rfam family "5.8S ribosomal RNA", at positions 50 to 154 of the family's 154-position model. The record is from RNAcentral.